UUACCCAAUAGGUUUCUAGAUUCUUCUACCCAAGGAAGUUACAAAUUAAACACUUAAUUAUUCUCAACACAUGUCUUACACCUAAUUUUGUAAAGCUUUAGAACGAAAAGAAAAUUAUCUCUUCUAAUUUAGUGCGUGAGAAACACAAUAAAUUAAGCGCAUAGGCGGAUAUAAGAAGGUAAUAAAUCAUUCACUUGUCUUCUACUCAAAAGGCACCGAAUGAUUCGCCAUCUUCUUGUGGCAACCAACACAUCUUAAAUGCUGCCAACGGGCACCAGCGUUAUCCUCUUGCGUGGUAUGAGGGUUAGAUUCCAAAAUAAC
This 321-nucleotide long non-coding RNA is filed under the name Ananas comosus (pineapple). RNAcentral's name for it is "long non-coding RNA (ACOM_LNC043500)". Lineage: Eukaryota; Viridiplantae; Streptophyta; Magnoliopsida; Poales; Bromeliaceae. The record is from RNAcentral.